This is a long non-coding RNA of Sycon ciliatum, 1695 nucleotides long. RefSeq lists it as uncharacterized. Lineage: Eukaryota; Metazoa; Porifera; Calcarea; Leucosolenida; Sycettidae. The transcript has 2 exons. The record is from RefSeq and is a predicted model, not a curated record.
GUCAUAUUAUGUAAACGACUCCCUGCUGUAUGGGGAGAUUUUCUAGAAAGAAAUACGAACGUUGCCGUCAGUAUAAUAAUAAGAAAAAGAAGAACGCCCGUGAUCGGCAGAGUCAGCGCCGGUCCCAGGAAACGUCAGGACAGACAUUCCGUCGACUCCAGAACGCCCGUGAUCAGCAGAGUCAGCGCCGGUUCCAUAGCUUUGCAGAAGACGUUACUUCAGUAUCUCAUUGAAACGUUUUUGCAAUACAAUGAUGUAGCUAAUCAAAGGAAAAAGCAUUUCCAUCAGUUCUACCAACAUGCACGAUGAGCUAGGCAACAAAGCAUAGCGCAGGGCCCUGAGCUUCCAAGCUCUCUCGUUGGCGUGACGAGGUAGAUCGCCGAGAUCGAGCGUGAAAAACGCUCUGCAUUAGUAGCUCCUGUAGAAUGUCUUCUGGGAUGGCGUACCCAUGGUCAACAAAGCCAAGGUGCAAGACAGCAUAAGAGAUCGUGUAAACGAUGUGAACUCCAAAAGGUAAGCUCCUGAACAAGUGGAAAGAUAUGUGUAUUUACAAACUCUCUCUUCAUCCAUCGAUUGCCGCUAUGCAUUGCAUUUUGUCUUCACAGAUAAUCUGGACAAAAUUAUAAUUAUUGUAACUGGAGAGUGCAAUCGUGCUUGGGACCCAUCCCAAUGUCAUCACAUGGCUGUGGUGACUAGUGUAUACCUGGGAGAGUUUUUCCUCAACUGAGACGGAGUGUAGGUGGAUGGAUUAUGAGAAAUGCGAAGAUGUGGAGUUCAAGGCUAGAUGCACUUCACAUUCGGCGUGGGAUCUCGGCGUCUGGGACCUGAUAACAUCUUGGUUGGAUGGGUAAUCAAGGAUGAUACUACUCGGCACACCAAUGUACAUGUCAAUGUAGUUUUUACUUUUUCAGAGCUGCACUAUUUACGUCUUGAUGCUUACUUCGGUGCUAGUGUCGUGUCCGUGUGUUGCUACAAUGUCAUUAUCUGUAUUGUAUUCCGUCUGCUUAUACAUGUGUCUUUAUGAAGUGUUUGCCGUGGCGGCGAUGUGUCUUGUCGAUCAAUAGUGUUGUGAAACCUAUCACUAUUCAUGCUUUGCUGGCUACUCGCUCGCUCCGCGCCGUGCACGCUACUAGGUCUUGUAGUAUAUACGCUGGUUGUUGUUGUUCUUGUUGCUUCUCUGUUGUUUGAGCUUGGUCCUAGAGUGAAGCUUUGAUCUUCUUGUGUGGUGAGGGUGAGGAAUGGGUAUCUGGACUCCUGGUAUAUUUCCGUAAAGAACCUGGAAUUGUAGAAUCCUGAGAGUAUGUCUGGCCCACUCCCCGGUCAUGACAUUAGGGUGUUUCCCCCGGAUUAUUUCUAUCAUCCUGCGUGUUCUUGGGCUGAGCGAGCACAUGCACGAGUGUGCAGCUAUAACCCUGUGUAUCUUUGGUUACACUUUGUUCUGCAAUGCAUGUACCUUGUAACAGUCUGUGCUUGCACUGCUUUGUGUGGCCUGCGUAUUUCAGGACUAUUCAGUGCAUCAGACCCAGGUUGGUUUGGUUGCCGGAUGAUCUCUUGUUGCGUCGCUCUGUGUUUUGUAUAAUUUUUCGGCUUGAGAAUUGAGCUGGUGUGUGGUUCCCAAUAUGAAAACAUCAUGCUGGUGCUCUGUGUUUCGAUUAUCGACUGUCCGAGCAGUCACGAUUCAUUACCAGAACGGUC